Molecule: ribosomal RNA, 366 nt
Filed under: Arthrobacter sp.
Lineage: Bacteria; Bacillati; Actinomycetota; Actinomycetes; Micrococcales; Micrococcaceae
Description: bacterial SSU rRNA
Rfam family: Bacterial small subunit ribosomal RNA
Source: RNAcentral
GCCGCGGUAAUACGUAGGGCGCAAGCGUUAUCCGGAAUUAUUGGGCGUAAAGAGCUCGUAGGCGGUUUGUCGCGUCUGCUGUGAAAGCCCGGGGCUCAACCCCGGGUCUGCAGUGGGUACGGGCAGACUAGAGUGCAGUAGGGGAGACUGGAAUUCCUGGUGUAGCGGUGAAAUGCGCAGAUAUCAGGAGGAACACCGAUGGCGAAGGCAGGUCUCUGGGCUGUAACUGACGCUGAGGAGCGAAAGCAUGGGGAGCGAACAGGAUUAGAUACCCUGGUAGUCCAUGCCGUAAACGUUGGGCACUAGGUGUGGGGGACAUUCCACGUUUUCCGCGCCGUAGCUAACGCAUUAAGUGCCCCGCCUGGG